This is a small nucleolar RNA of Dipodomys ordii (Ord's kangaroo rat), 141 nucleotides long. The record is from Ensembl. Lineage: Eukaryota; Metazoa; Chordata; Mammalia; Rodentia; Heteromyidae.
UUUCCCAUUUAACUACAACAUUUUCUUCUAAAAAUAGAUUUUAGUGGCUAUGCUUAUGGGAUAAAUUAAAGUUUCCAUGAUCUGAAGGGGAAGAGUUUAAAAAGUGCCCUCCUUCUAUAUAAAAUGGCUGAACAGAAGAAA